AGAGUUUGAUCCUGGCUCAGGAUGAACGCUAGCGACAGGCUUAACACAUGCAAGUCGAGGGGCAGCGGGGGCGUAGCAAUAUGCCUGCCGGCGACCGGCGCACGGGUGAGUAACACGUAUGUAACCUGCCCUAUGCAGGGGGAUAACCCGGAGAAAUCCGGCCUAAUACCGCGUAACACCUUAGGGGAGCAUUCUCUUGAGGUUAAAGGAGAGACCCGGCAUAGGAUGGACAUGCGUCGCAUUAGGUAGACGGCGGGGUAACGGCCCACCGUGCCGACGAUGCGUAGGGGUUCUGAGAGGAAGGCCCCCCACACUGGUACUGAGACACGGACCAGACUCCUACGGGAGGCAGCAGUGAGGAAUAUUGGUCAAUGGCCGAGAGGCUGAACCAGCCAAGUCGCGUGAGGGAAGAAUGUCCUAAGGAUUGUAAACCUCUUUUGUCGGGGAGCAAAAAGGCUCUGCGGAGUCGUAUUGAGAGUACCCGAAGAAAAAGCAUCGGCUAACUCCGUGCCAGCAGCCGCGGUAAUACGGAGGAUGCGAGCGUUAUCCGGAUUUAUUGGGUUUAAAGGGUGCGCAGGCGGCGUGUCAAGCAAGCGGUAAAAUAGCGGGGCUAAACCCCGUCGAGCCGUUUGAACUGGCGCGCUUGAGUUCAGGCGAGGUAGGCGGAAUUCGUGGUGUAGCGGUGAAAUGCAUAGAUAUCACGAAGAACUCCGAUUGCGAAGGCAGCUUACCAGUCUGCGACUGACGCUCAGGCACGAAAGUGUGGGUAUCGAACAGGAUUAGAUACCCUGGUAGUCCACACAGUAAACGAUGAGCGCUAGGUGUCCGGGUCGCAUGAGACUUGGGUGCCCGAGCGAAAGCGUUAAGCGCUCCACCUGGGGAGUACGCCGGCAACGGUGAAACUCAAAGGAAUUGACGGGGGCCCGCACAAGCGGAGGAACAUGUGGUUUAAUUCGAUGAUACGCGAGGAACCUUACCCGGGCUCAAACGACUCAGGAAUAUAUUGGAAACGAUGUAGCCAGCAAUGGUCUGAGUCGAGGUGCUGCAUGGUUGUCGUCAGCUCGUGCCGUGAGGUGUCGGCUUAAGUGCCAUAACGAGCGCAACCCCUACCGCCAGUUGCCAACGGGUAAAGCCGGGAACUCUGGCGGGACUGCCGGCGCAAGCUGCGAGGAAGGCGGGGAUGACGUCAAAUCAGCACGGCCCUUACGUCCGGGGCGACACACGUGUUACAAUGGCAGGUACAGCGGGAAGCCACCUGGUGACAGGGAGCGGAACCCGAAAGCCUGUCUCAGUUCGGAUUGGAGUCUGCAACUCGACUCCAUGAAGCUGGAUUCGCUAGUAAUCGCGCAUCAGCCAUGGCGCGGUGAAUACGUUCCCGGGCCUUGCACACACCGCCCGUCA
Molecule: ribosomal RNA, 1401 nt
Filed under: uncultured bacterium
Lineage: Bacteria
Description: 16S ribosomal RNA
Rfam family: Bacterial small subunit ribosomal RNA
Source: RNAcentral